AUGGAGACGUUCGUGCUGUCGCCGGAGAGCCCCCUCUUGGGGCUGAGGUCCCCGGUGAUGAACUCAGCUGCCCACGCGGUCGUUCGGUUAUACGGUUUCCUUCUCAUAGUGCCGCCUGAACCGGGGACAGCGGACAACGAGCUCGACAUGAGCUGCCCCGGCGACGACGUGCUGGUAGAGAUGGAGUAUGUCCCCGAGGGCUGGUUUCUUGGAGGACCGGCGCCGUUGUUCGCCGCCGCGGGGUGCACGGCCGGCUGCAUGCGGGUCGCCGCCGUGGAGGACCAAGAAGAAGAAGCAGACAGCAAGGAGAUCCUGGUGCUCUACCGCUACGCCCCUUUCUCGGUAUCAUCGGACGGCGUGGUGGCGCGAGGGAGCAGCAGGGCGCACCUGCUCCGGUUCAUCGCCACCGGCGACCACACGGCGAGGUCGCUGGCGUGGGCCGGAUCGUCUCUGGUCCGGCUGAUAUACCCCGGUGACUUCAGCGAGCAGCUCCAGGAGCUAUGGUCGAGCCUAGCGUCGCAGGUGAGCGUUCUGCCGCGCGCCGCGCGCGUCGAGGUGUUCGUCGACGUCGGUAUCCUCCUCCGGAGGUCGGACUACACUCCCGAGCGCGUGGAGCAGAUGCGCCCCUCGCCGGAGCGCAUGGCGGAGCAGACGUGGCCCGUGCGCUUCACCGGCAUGGAGCUGCACCUGCCGGAGCCGAUGCGGCGCGACCAUGAUAAAGACGAAACCGCCGUCGACGACGACGAUGACACGGACGCCGGUGAACGGCCAGCGAAGCAAAGGAGGGUAGUCGCCGCCGGGGAGGAUUGCCCCGUUUGCUUGCAGCUGCUCGAGGGGAACGACCUCGCCGCGUGGUCCGGGUGCGACAAGCCCCAUGUCUUCCAUGGCUCGUGCUUGGAGCGCGUCCUUGUGGAGAGCAAGACGUGCCCUAUGUGCAGGCACAAGCUAUACAUCGAACACAAACGAUGA
RNAcentral lists this ribosomal RNA (969 nucleotides) under Triticum aestivum (bread wheat). Its description in RNAcentral is "partial small subunit ribosomal RNA". Lineage: Eukaryota; Viridiplantae; Streptophyta; Magnoliopsida; Poales; Poaceae. The record is from RNAcentral.